RNAcentral lists this ribosomal RNA (266 nucleotides) under Hebeloma parvisporum. Its description in RNAcentral is "partial large subunit ribosomal RNA". It matches the Rfam family "Eukaryotic large subunit ribosomal RNA", at positions 66 to 325 of the family's 3401-position model. The record is from RNAcentral. Lineage: Eukaryota; Fungi; Basidiomycota; Agaricomycetes; Agaricales; Hymenogastraceae.
UAACAAGGAUUCCCCUAGUAACUGCGAGUGAAGCGGGAAAAGCUCAAAUUUAAAAUCUGGCGGUCUCCGGCCGUCCGAGUUGUAAUCUAGAGAAGUGUUAUCCGCGCUGGACCGUGUACAAGUCUCCUGGAAUGGAGCAUCAUAGAGGGUGAGAAUCCCGUCUUUGACACGGACUGCCAGUGCUUUGUGAUGCGCUCUCAAAGAGUCGAGUUGUUUGGGAAUGCAGCUCAAAAUGGGUGGUAAAUUCUAUCUUAAGCUAAUUAUUU